Molecule: ribosomal RNA, 386 nt
Filed under: uncultured bacterium
Lineage: Bacteria
Description: bacterial SSU rRNA
Rfam family: Bacterial small subunit ribosomal RNA
Source: RNAcentral
GACGAACGCUGGCGGCGUGCUUAACACAUGCAAGUCGAACGCUGAUCCGCUUUCGGGUGGUGAUGAGUGGCGAACGGGUGAGUAACACGUGGGUAAUCUGCCCUGCACUCUGGGAUAAGCCUUGGAAACGAGGUCUAAUACCGGAUAUCACAUUUCCUCGCAUGGGGGGAUGUUGAAAGUUCUGGCGGUGCAGGAUGAACCCGCGGCCUAUCAGCUUGUUGGGGGGUAGUGGCCUACCAAGGCGACGACGGGUAGCCGGCCUGAGAGGGUGACCGGCCACACUGGGACUGAGACACGGCCCAGACUCCUACGGGAGGCAGCAGUGGGGAAUAUUGCACAAUGGGCGAAAGCCUGAUGCAGCGACGCCGCGUGAGGGAUGACGGCCU